Cyprinus carpio carpio is the source of this 1643-nucleotide long non-coding RNA. NCBI's taxonomy places the organism in Eukaryota, Metazoa, Chordata, Actinopteri, Cypriniformes, Cyprinidae. The record is from Ensembl.
AUGCUGAAAAGACAUAAAGGAAGCAGUCACCCCAGUCGUGUUUGUGGAGAGGUAUUCCUUCAGAAAUGGAGAAGACAGAAAGCUGCAGAGGCAGGAUUGUUUGCAGAUAAUGCUGUUCUUCUUUUUCAGAAGUUUUUGGUGAGCCAACUCUCACAAACCUUCCUAAAAACUAAAAGAGCUAUUACUGAGUCUCGGCUAAUCUUGCCAUGGUCAGCUCUUCCCAGGUUCAUUUGUUUACUCAUCAAAUGCUCUGGUCUGAAUCUUACUUUAAAUUAACUUAAUUAUAUGUUUAAUGAGCAAUAUUAAUUGCACACAUAGUAAGAUUAUCUUGUUUCACAGAAGAGAAGGAAGACCAAGGAAAUUAUUUGCUCAGGAUGAGAAAUGAAGAUGGCCAUCUUGUGCUCAAACAAACAGAAGUCCUCUGGUAUGUGUGUGUUGAAGCAAUGUUGUCUUAUGUGUUACAGGACUUUAUGAUUCCUGUAACUCUAUGAUUAUUCUUUCCAAUGUUUUUUUAUAUUUAUUUUUAUUUUUAUUUGAUACAGCUAUUAUAAUUAUAGCAUGUUAGCAAAGUGUGACUGGAACAUUUUUAAUCUAAAAUUUUUAAAAAACACCACCUGUUUUUCUUAAAAGAACACAAGUGUCAUAAAAGUGGUUUAAUUGAUAUAAACACAAAUUUACAUUAUCUCAUUGUUUUAUAAAUGUUGUGUUAUGGAUUGUGGAUUGAUAGUUGAUUGGUUUGAAGCCAGGCCUUAACCCUGCUCAGACUAAAACACAUUUGUGAGAGAAGUCAGGAACUUUGGAGAAAGAUUCUAGAGAAAAAAAAAGACACAUUUACUGCAACAAUAGAUGAAUUCUAGAGUCUCUGAGAACUACACAUGCUAAUGCAGUCUCAUGAGCAGGACCUUUGCCUCUGUAACUUUUUCUUAAUUCUUGCAGAAUGAAAUUUUUAUUGCAGUAUUUUAAUUUGUACAGAUGAUCUCAUCAGCCAAAUGAGGGGUUUUGACCAAGUGAUGCUCUUGAAAGGAGUGAAAGAAGAGGAUGUGGUAAAUUGUCUUAAAGCAGCUUGAAGAAUGGUAAGUGUACAGUACUACAAGGGUCAUAGUUGCUCACCCUGCUAAAAUCACACAGAACAUAAGCUGAGCUCUCUGUCCAUUAAACAACUUCAUCUGGAUUGUUUGUUUCACUUUGACCAGGUCUGGGAUGUUAGGACUGAGAGAUCCUCUGACUGAGAGAAGCUACACCACAUCAGUGCUGGAUAUCAACCACAAACUGUUUCCAGACACGAGAGAAGAAGAUCAUGAUGGGGAGAUGAAACCAGUUUAGAUGUGAUGAUAAGGAAUCAUUAUUUUCUGAAACAGGAUCAAAUGUCUUAUAUGUAUCACAUGAUCUGUAUCACAGUUGACUGGAUGGGACUGUGUGACUCUUUAAGUACAUUUCAUCACUCAUCUGUGUGAACUGAUUAAUAUAUGAGGUUAAUGUAUUUUUGAUUAUGAAUAAUUAUUUUCCUUGAAUCUUAUUUGUCUUGAUGCUACUUUAUCAUCUGUAUAGUCUAUGCUUCAAUAAAAUGAAAAUUGUGAAUAUUGUGUUCUGAAGAUUCUUGGUAAACACAUCAUUUUACUAGGUAGGCUCAUAUGUGUUUAUUU